UACUACUACUACUACUGCAGGAGGAUGGCGGGGGCAGCAGUGAGGCGGUGGUCGGCGGAGGAGGAGAGAGACAGGCGGAGAAGAAUGUCAAGGUCCAUUUCAAUUCUUCCUUCAACGUUGUCAAGUACGGGGACGGCACUGACAUCAAGGACUUGUCAAGCCAGUCAGUGAACCCAGUCUGCAAGACGUCUUGGUCAAGAUGGGACACAACCUAACACGGAAACCCUUCAAGCUGGAGAACCACUACUGGGUUGGUCACAGCUAAAGGAGAGAGAGAGACAGAGGGAGAGAGAGAGUACCUUACAGCCUACUAUUCCUGCAGCGGGUGUGUGGUGACCCAGGGCGUUGAGGGAAGCCAGACGCUCUCCUAUAGGGCUUCAGGCAGAUACAACUCCCUCAUCACCUGCUUCACUCCAGCCCAGACCUUGCCACUCACACCCAACAGCUGCUUCAUCUUAAGGUGGGACUGGUUAGGUUACGAUAUGUUUAGGGUAUCUUAAAACACAGGAUAGGCGGGAACUUAGGGUAUGAA
Eriocheir sinensis (Chinese mitten crab) is the source of this 532-nucleotide long non-coding RNA. RefSeq lists it as uncharacterized. The transcript is spliced from 3 exons. The record is from RefSeq and is a predicted model, not a curated record. NCBI's taxonomy places the organism in Eukaryota, Metazoa, Arthropoda, Malacostraca, Decapoda, Varunidae.